GAUGAAGAACGUAGCGAAAUGCGAUAAGUAAUGUGAAUUGCAGAAUUCAGUGAAUCAUCGAAUCUUUGAACGCACAUUGCGCCCGCCAGUAUUCUGGCGGGCAUGCCUGUUCGAGCGUCAUUACAACCCUCAGGCCCCCGGGCCUGGCGUUGGGGAUCGGCGGAGCCCCCCGUGGGCACACGCCGUCCCCCAAAUGCAGUGGCGGUCCCGCCGCAGCUUCCAUCGCGUAGUAGCUAACACCUCGCGACUGGAGAGCGGCGCGGCCACGUCGUAAAACACCCAACUCUUCUGAAGUUGACCUCGAAUCAGGUAGGAAUACCCGCUGAACUUAAGCAUAUCAAUAAGCGGAGGA
This 352-nucleotide unclassified non-coding RNA is filed under the name soil metagenome. RNAcentral's name for it is "partial contains 5.8S ribosomal RNA, internal transcribed spacer 2, and large subunit ribosomal RNA". The stretch from base 1 to 120 matches the Rfam family "5.8S ribosomal RNA", at positions 35 to 154 of the family's 154-position model. The record is from RNAcentral.